This is a small nuclear RNA of Tupaia belangeri (northern tree shrew), 111 nucleotides long. The record is from Ensembl. NCBI's taxonomy places the organism in Eukaryota, Metazoa, Chordata, Mammalia, Scandentia, Tupaiidae.
GGCAGCACUCACUUUGACUGUCCAUAUACUAAAACAGAAAUGAUACAGAGAAUAUUAAGAUUGACCCUGAACAAGGAAGACACAUAAAUUCAUAAAGCAUUCUAUAUUUUU